Molecule: ribosomal RNA, 486 nt
Filed under: uncultured bacterium
Lineage: Bacteria
Description: partial 16S ribosomal RNA
Rfam family: Bacterial small subunit ribosomal RNA
Source: RNAcentral
AUUGAACGCUGGCGGCAUGCCUUACACAUGCAAGUCGAACGGCAGCACGGGUUCUUGCACCUGGUGGCGAGUGGCGAACGGGUGAGUAAUACAUCGGAACAUGUCCUGUAGUGGGGGAUAGCCCGGCGAAAGCCGGAUUAAUACCGCAUACGAUCUACGGAUGAAAGCGGGGGACCUUCGGGCCUCGCGCUAUAGGGUUGGCCGAUGGCUGAUUAGCUAGUUGGUGGGGUAAAGGCCUACCAAGGCGACGAUCAGUAGCUGGUCUGAGAGGACGACCAGCCACACUGGGACUGAGGCACGGCCCAGACUCCUACGGGAGGCAGCAGUGGGGAAUUUUGGACAAUGGGCGAAAGCCUGAUCCAGCAAUGCCGCGUGUGUGAAGAAGGCCUUCGGGUUGUAAAGCACUUUUGUCCGGAAAGAAAUCCUUGGCCCUAAUACGGUCGGGGGAUGACGGUACCGGAAGAAUAAGCACCGGCUAACUACGUG